RNAcentral lists this ribosomal RNA (497 nucleotides) under uncultured Chryseobacterium sp. RNAcentral describes it as "bacterial SSU rRNA". It matches the Rfam family "Bacterial small subunit ribosomal RNA", at positions 10 to 507 of the family's 1533-position model. Lineage: Bacteria; Pseudomonadati; Bacteroidota; Flavobacteriia; Flavobacteriales; Weeksellaceae. The record is from RNAcentral.
AGUUUGAUCCUGGCUCAGGAUGAACGCUAGCGGGAGGCCUAACACAUGCAAGCCGAGCGGUAGAGAUUCUUCGGAAUCUUGAGAGCGGCGCACGGGUGCGGAACACGUGUGCAACCUACCUUUAUCAGGGGGAUAGCCUUUCGAAAGGAAGAUUAAUACCCCAUAAUAUAUUUGAUGGCAUCAUUGAAUAUUGAAAACUCCGGUGGAUAGAGAUGGGCACGCGCAAGAUUAGAUAGUUGGUGAGGUAACGGCUCACCAAGUCAAUGAUCUUUAGGGGGCCUGAGAGGGUGAUCCCCCACACUGGUACUGAGACACGGACCAGACUCCUACGGGAGGCAGCAGUGAGGAAUAUUGGACAAUGGGUGAGAGCCUGAUCCAGCCAUCCCGCGUGAAGGACGACGGCCCUAUGGGUUGUAAACUUCUUUUGUAUAGGGAUAAACCUACUCUCGUGAGAGUAGCUGAAGGUACUAUACGAAUAAGCACCGGCUAACUCCGUG